Mesocricetus auratus (golden hamster) is the source of this 1247-nucleotide long non-coding RNA. RefSeq lists it as uncharacterized. Lineage: Eukaryota; Metazoa; Chordata; Mammalia; Rodentia; Cricetidae. The transcript has 2 exons. The record is from RefSeq and is a predicted model, not a curated record.
GUAGAGAUUAGGUCCCAUCUCCCUGCCACAAAACAGGGAAGGUGAACCAGGGUGGAUUAAACAUGGAGAUUUCCACUACUGUGCUUAAGUCACAGUUCCUAUUGUUUCAGGUCAGAUAGAGAGCACCUGAGAGGUCACCCAAAGGAUGCCAGGAGAAAGGAAGACUGCCUUGCAUUUCAGAAAAUGGGUGUGUGACACCCCCUACACACACUUGAUUCUGUCAGAGUGGUGACCUAACUAGGAAGAUGUAGAAGUUGACAUUCAGAUACCUUUUUGAAAGAAAAGCUUGGUACUAUUUGAAGACACAAGAAGUGUGGAAAAUGAGUUUCCUCUUUCUUCUACCCAGAGGGGUCUAUUCUUUGUGUGCUUCCAGAUUUUAGUCAGUGCUGAAAAAGAAGGCCGAGUAGAUGUUUAUUGAAUGUUUUAAAUGGCAUCAUCUGAAUUUGGUUACAGAUGUUGAUGAAAGAAACCAUGCCCUAGCCUUGCUGCCUGUAUGGGUAAGCACAGGAGACAUUUACAAUAACACAUUUUAAUGUUGUUCCAGCCAUGGCGCUGUUCUAUCUGAUUACAACUGCUUUGACUACUUGCUAAGUUGCAGACAUUUUGCACACCUUAUUUCAGUGCUUUCCAACUGUCAUUCCUUUAUUCAGCAAACAAGGAGGACAGACAAACAUCAUAGAAAUGUAAGACCGCUUGUCCAAGGCCAUCGAGAAGCAAACUAUUUGUAUUCAACUUCAAAUACAUUUCUCCUGUGUUAUCUACAUUCCUUUAAGCUCUUCAUCACUGGCAGUUAUUAAGAGUUAAUAGUAUAAUAAUGUAUCAUUAUUUUUCACUUACAUAAUUCCCCUCAGAGAUACACAUAGUACCUCAAGAGCUUUCAAUCUACUUCAUUGCUCCAGAAAAGACAAAAUAAUAAACCUGGAACUCAAAAGGUUUGGGAUGGUUGAGGGGCAGGGAGGCAGAGACAGUGAUAUGGAGAUCAGGAGAAACAGGCAAAGAGAGGAACUGAUCUCACAACCACUCCCUGCUAGUAAAUAAAGCAAUAAAAUAAUGUGUGAAACCAAAAAAGCUGGAAAAGUUGAAGAGUUUAGUGUUUAGUUUGGUGAAGGCAUGGGAAAUUCGUAAUAUGGCUACAUCUACUGGGUUCUCACAAGCACAGGAAACCAAUUCAACCAAAUCUAUUUUGGUGCCUGUUUUGAUGGGGUACAAAUCACACUUGAAUAUUUUAUGAAAGAAAUUCUACAGUA